GCAUCAUAAUACGACUUCGAAUGGCGGGAUAUAUUUUCGUCAUCUGACAUACUGGCACCAAUAGCGCAAAUUGCAUAAAUAAGAUGUUCAGUGCAGUAGAAGCCAUCGUGAAAAUUGUAAUAGUAGUCUGAAAGGAACGACUCCCGGUAUACAAAGAGAAAUUGAGAAUAUUGAUACCUAAAAAACAACUUUAAGCAUUCUGAUACCAUGGGAGAAUAAGAAGCUUGAAAAUUCCAAGUAGUCUUGUUGUCUUUUGUGAUAUCUGGCAAAGAUAGAUCAUAGGCACUUGUCGGUCCAUAAAAGGAUACCGUCUUCG
Schizosaccharomyces pombe (fission yeast) is the source of this 316-nucleotide non-coding RNA. The record is from the annotation of a GenBank genome assembly. Lineage: Eukaryota; Fungi; Ascomycota; Schizosaccharomycetes; Schizosaccharomycetales; Schizosaccharomycetaceae.